RNAcentral lists this long non-coding RNA (1457 nucleotides) under Heterocephalus glaber (naked mole-rat). RNAcentral describes it as "lncRNA (ENSHGLG00000048869.1)". Lineage: Eukaryota; Metazoa; Chordata; Mammalia; Rodentia; Bathyergidae. The record is from RNAcentral.
GUUGUUUUGUCACUCAACAAUGUUAUCAUUUAAGUCCUAUACUUGAAUGUUACAACUUUAGUAAGGAAACAGGAAAUUUGGAGUGAGCAUUUAUAGUUACUUUAAAAUAUGUAGGAUCUAUUAAGUGGAAAACAAAACUCGGAAGUAGGUAUAUAAAGUAUUUUUCAAAGUUAAAUCUAUUGCCACUUAGUAUUUGAAAGGACACUGGUCCCGAGGACAGAAAUACAUGAAAAUAGUUGGGUGGUACAUGUGUGGAGUUAGCUGUUUUCUGGGGGAGAAGGGAAAAACAAAAGAGGGAAGCUUCAUAUAGUGAUUUCUUGAGAGCCAGUGCAUUGGUUGAAAAUGUUUUACAGUGAGGGUGAAUUAAAAGAAGGUUCUGAGAUUAGUGUGCCCAAGGAUUAUCCCAAGUGAGAAGACCUGAUAGUCAUCUGGUUGAAAAUAAGUUGUUAAACUGCAAAAUUUCAGGAAUCAAGAUAAAAUUUGAAUCUUCUGUGUGUGCAUCACAGCCAUUAAGUUUUCUGGAAAAUUUGAACCUUCUAUGUACCCAUCACAACCAUUAAGUUUUCUGAAGAUCACUUUUGCAAAAAUGAGACCAUUAUACAUUGGGUUGAUUUAAGUUGGGAUUAAAUACACAAUGCUGACGUUUGGAGGAAGUAAUAUUCCAUAUCUGCUUAUCACAGUUUCAGACUUUUAACAGCAGAUGGAUGGCAAGGGUGCGUGGAGCUGCCCAUUAACAAAAAGAAAUGGGCACAGGUCUGAAAGCUGCCCAGGAAUUAGAAAUUUGCCCAUGUGAUCAAAGUUACAGAAUUUAGUGGUAAAUAGCAAAUCAAGUUAUCCAGGGUGUUGACUGCUUUAAAAGGAAAUGACUUAAACUACAUUAAAUGGCCCUUAACAUUUACUGUAAUAGUUGAAGGGCUUGUAUUGAGAUAAAAGGAAUUCCCUAUUGUGUUAAUUUGCUAUAUGUGGAAGUUGUAGGAGAGGUAGUUUUCACUUAUGGAUACACUGUAUUCUAUGUCCUUUGUCAAAGUGUGAAAGCUUUCAUCCUUUAAGACGUCAACAUUCUGAUGGGUUUACUUGAACAUCUAAGCUGUCCGCCAUUUCAUAAGGCCUGAAAAAUGGCUUUGAUUGAAAAUUUGCCUAUCAAAUUGAAAUUCAGAGUAGUAGUGAGCUUGGUGUGAGUUGGAUGGGGGUCUAUAAUCUUGUGCUCCUUUAUGCAGUUUGAGAAUUCCAACGAACCCUUUAAAAUGUUUAUGUGUAUAAAUACAUUGAAUACUAAGUGUCACAGUAAUACGUGCUACAUACAAUAAAAGGUCUUUUUGAAGUUUCUCACAAAUGCUGUUUUGAACUAAUAAAAAGAAUACUAUUGUGGUUUGUUACCAAGAAUACUGAAGGAAGUGCUGUGUUUCAUUUAACGGAAGGAAAAACUCCAAAAUCCUAGGAUCUAAGUUUAUCCAGGC